GACUUCUCAGGGUCAUACCCGGAGAGUGUCCAGUAUUCUACCAGUCUUGACUAUGGGAGGGAGAGUUAAACAGAGGCAUAUCCAUUCCAUUCCUAGCUUGGGCAGUGGCUAGUGAGUGAAAGGUAAUCUGCUACAAGU
Ornithorhynchus anatinus (platypus) is the source of this 138-nucleotide small nucleolar RNA. Lineage: Eukaryota; Metazoa; Chordata; Mammalia; Monotremata; Ornithorhynchidae. The record is from RefSeq and is a predicted model, not a curated record.